Passer montanus (Eurasian tree sparrow) is the source of this 572-nucleotide long non-coding RNA. RefSeq lists it as uncharacterized. The record is from RefSeq and is a predicted model, not a curated record. NCBI's taxonomy places the organism in Eukaryota, Metazoa, Chordata, Aves, Passeriformes, Passeridae. The transcript is spliced from 3 exons.
UGAGGAUGCAGAGCUCCGAGGGUGGCUCACCUGGCCGGGCAGGGCUGGCCCAGCUCUCUGCCAUCUGGAAUUGCAUGGUGACACCCUGUGAGCUGUGCCAUCUCCUCUGUGCCAUGCUGUGACACCCUGGGCACCAGGGCUCAGGGAGCAGCUCAGGAUUUGCUGCCCUGGGCUGGGAUGAUGCUCCAGGGGCACCUGCUGCAAUCACACCACAGAAACCCUGGAGGGAGGAGGAGGAUGAGUAAGUGCUAGAGGAGAAUUCCUGCAGUGAUUUCACAGCAGAUGAAAGCAGCCAGAUAGGAGCUGUGCUGCCUGGAGCAAGGGGACAGGCACCCCCAGAGCCUGCAGCACUCCCAUUUCCUGGUGAUGGGGCACGUUUGGUAUUCCUGUCUGUCUGACAGGAACACGGGGAGAGGCCCAGCCCCGCGGGCAGCUCCAGGCUCUGCCUGCCCCCUCCAGGGUGCAUUUGAAGGGUCUGGGGUUGACCCUGUGUGUGGCUGGCAGGGAAUAAACGGGAACCAGCCCAGCCUGGGAAUUACCCUGCACUGGGCUGGGCUGCGGGCUCCUCUGCC